UACAACUUUCAACAACGGAUCUCUUGGCUCUCGCAUCGAUGAAGAACGCARCGAAAUGCGAUAACUAAUGUGAAUUGCAKAAUUCAGUGAAUCAUCGAGUCUUUGAACGCACCUUGCGCCCUUUGGUAUUCCGAAGGGCAUGCCUGUUUGAGUGUCAGU
RNAcentral lists this ribosomal RNA (159 nucleotides) under Hymenopellis radicata. Its description in RNAcentral is "5.8S ribosomal RNA". It matches the Rfam family "5.8S ribosomal RNA". Rfam says of the family: 5.8S ribosomal RNA (5.8S rRNA) is a component of the large subunit of the eukaryotic ribosome. It is transcribed by RNA polymerase I as part of the 45S precursor that also contains 18S and 28S rRNA. Lineage: Eukaryota; Fungi; Basidiomycota; Agaricomycetes; Agaricales; Physalacriaceae. The record is from RNAcentral.